This 6120-nucleotide unclassified non-coding RNA is filed under the name Venturia canescens. RNAcentral's name for it is "serine/threonine-protein kinase Pak, transcript variant X4". Lineage: Eukaryota; Metazoa; Arthropoda; Insecta; Hymenoptera; Ichneumonidae. The record is from RNAcentral.
UUAUCCUUUAAGAACCACUGAAAUCGCACAAAUUCUUUUCUCAAAGAAGUGCGUAAUAAUAAACAAACUGAAUAAUUCGCUAUUUAGUAAAACAUGAAAGUCUAUUGUUUUACAAAAAAAAAAGGAGAUCUCGAAGGUAUAAGGGAACAGAACGAUAGAGGGCGAUCGUAGCGCGAAAGGGGAAAGCAAGUACGGAUCGAGUAGAGGAAGGGGGAGGGGAUAUUUUUUAACACGAGAGAAGGCGGUUGUGUAGUGGCAGAGGACCGUGGCUACGGCGGGCGGUGAUUCAGGCCCUUAUCUACUUAAAAUUUCUACUUGAAACAAAACCCACUGACGAAUAAAGUCCGAUUAAAAAUCGGUGUGUCUGUGCAUUCCUAAAAAAAAAGUUCUCGAUAGCAUACAAUAAAAAAAAACAAUCCAGAUUCCAUCCAGUAUCGUAAAUGCCAGAUUAAUAUCGCCGAGUUCGUGAUAAAAACGCAACGGAGUUUCAUUUUAUUUUCUCCUCGUUUCCGACGGUAUUUUCAUUGGAUCUGUACGUUCGCGAGUGCAGUGAAAUCACGAAAUCGAAGAAGAAAAAACAGGAGAACAAAUUCGAAAAAAAGAAAAACAACAAAGUGCAAGCGUAUCUCGAUGCGGCGGGGUGUCUACCCGUGUGUGAAUCACGCUCUUGCCUCGGCGCCCGGCUGUCCCGAGUUUUCUUCGUGACCACGACAUUGACCCGCGAGUAUUACAUGGCAGUCAAUAAAGGAAAAAAAUUGUGAAUAAUAAUACAUGGAUAAGCCGUGGAAUAAGAAAAUAUAAAACGACUUCAGUGGGAAAGUAUAAUUGCUCCGAACAAAACCUGUAACAUUUCGAUUUCCCCCUCCCUCUCCUUCAAGUUUCCCGUCCUUUCAAUUCACUUUUGCAUAUAUCUCCGUCUUUCUCUCGCUAAAAUCGUGCUACCGAGAGCUUCCCAAAGAGACACAGAGCUAACAAAACCCACGAGGGUUACGCUGAUUCAUCCGCGAUGUAUCUUCUCGGAAAAUACCUUUUUAUUCUCUCAUCCACGUGAUACACGUAUAUACUAUACGUUAAAAGAACGAAAAAAAAACAACAUGCCCGAAUAACGUUCGGAUACAGAGAUUUUUGAAAAAAAAAACGAAACAAUGCGGGAUUGAAACAAUCUCAUAAAUUUCAUUGUUUUUUUUUUAAGUGUCAACAAACUGUGCGUUUCAUUACGACGUCAUCUUACGUGGAAUAUCCUUUUUACAAGGAAUCUCCAUGUUUGUACCUAUAAUUGUUUAUCGCCACGCCGGAUUACCCUUCUUUUGAUACUCGAACCACCAGCCGACAAAACUCAGAGAGCGAAAAAUUCUAACGUUUUUCAAACGAAUUCGAACGUUUUUCACCCACAAUAGUGAAACUCAACGAAUUCGAAGAAAAUUCGAUGAGAAUUCCUUUUUCAAAAGGUCUCAAUCGUGUAACAAAGCGGACUGUGAUUCUGCAAAAAAUUGUGAUUCGCUUAAAAAUAUUACUGCGCAAGCCUUCGUAGCUGUAGAAUAAAAAGUCCAAAAUUCUUGACAGCAGGAAUCUCAUCGGUGAUAAAACAACAUCAUUUUUUUCAACAAAUCAAACUCCAGCCAAAUUUAUCAACAAAGUUCUCCAAUCUUUUUUCCCAUUUUUGGCAACGUCGCUGUCUAUUCCAAGCUUCAAUAAACUACAUAGAAAAUUAUUACGUGCCUAAACGAGAGAACGGUGACGCAGCGACGGAGGACGGACAAGCGAAGCAAAGACCAAAGAAGGAGCGUCGUCAUGUCGGACGAAGAAGACAAACCACCUGCGCCACCCGUCCGACUCACCUCAAACAGAGGUGAAUCGACGCCGAAUCUGCCGGUGGACAUGCGGCCACUACCGAAGGAGCCGGACUCGGACGAGCGAAAGAAGAAAACGCUGAAAGGAAAGAUGAAGGUGAAGGAGAACAAGGACAAGCCUAACAUUAGUUUACCAACAAAUUUCGAGCACACGGUACACGUCGGGUUCGAUGCUGUUACCGGGGACUUCACGCUGCCACUAAAAGGGAUGCCGGAAGCAUGGGCGAGACUUCUCAUGUCGAGCAACAUCAGCAAACAGGAACAGAAGAAAAAUCCACAGGCUGUUUUAGACGUUUUGAACUGGUACGACAACAGUAGCAAGGAAGCUAAAGGCUCUAAAUAUAUGACGACCACGAAAAUGGUCGGGAUCGUCGCAUCGAUAGAAAGAGAGAGCAGUCCCCGAAGCGUUGGAAUGGGAGUCGGAAUCGGCAUUGGAAAUGUGCGAGGUCAAGCGAUGUCACAGGCGUCGGGGAGUUCGCAUUCGCAGCAUUCGUUGAGCAGAGUGAGCAGUAGUAGUCCGAGCAGCACGCCAACAGACGCAUGUGCGACGAGUUCGGAGCAAGAAGAUGAGCCGCCACCCCCACCGAUAUCCGCGAGACCGGAACGCACGAAAUCGAUCUACACGAAACCUAUCGAGGAGGAACCACCGUCGUCGAUUCCGACGACUCUUGGAUCGCCCCAACACAAUGGCACGCAGCAACAACAACCCCAAUCCCAACUCGACAGAAAUAAAAAUCAAGCGACUCCGACGCCGACCGUUCCUGAUCAAUCCCGGCCUACGCAAAGCGAUAAAGCCAGAAAGAAGAAAAUGUCCGAUGAGGAAAUACUCGAAAAGCUCAGAACCAUCGUUAGCGUUGGGGAUCCCAACAGAAAAUACACGAAAAUGGAAAAAAUUGGACAGGGUGCUUCCGGUACCGUAUACACAGCAAUUGAGACAUCGACCGGGAUGGAAGUAGCGAUAAAACAGAUGAAUCUUGAGCAUCAGCCGAAGAAAGAACUGAUAAUAAACGAGAUAUUAGUUAUGCGGGAAAACAAGCAUCCAAACGUCGUUAAUUAUCUCGAUAGUUAUCUCGUUGGCCAAGAAUUAUGGGUUGUGAUGGAAUAUUUGCCGGGUGGAAGUUUGACGGAUGUUGUGACAGAGACAUGUAUGGACGAGGGUCAAAUAGCAGCGGUUUGUCGAGAAGUUUUACAAGCUCUGGAGUUUCUACAUUGCAAUCAAGUCAUACACAGGGAUAUUAAGUCCGACAAUAUUCUUCUGGGUCUCGAUGGCGGCGUUAAAUUAACCGAUUUCGGUUUCUGUGCACAAAUAUCACCUGAACAAAGUAAAAGGACUACCAUGGUCGGGACGCCCUACUGGAUGGCGCCUGAAGUCGUCACGAGAAAGCAAUACGGUCCUAAAGUAGAUAUCUGGUCCUUGGGAAUAAUGGCCAUAGAAAUGAUAGAAGGUGAGCCUCCGUACUUGACGGAAAAUCCUCUGAGAGCGUUGUAUUUGAUUGCAACGAAUGGAAAGCCCGACAUAAAGGAGAAGGAAAAGUUGACGGCAAUAUUUCAAGAUUUUUUGGAUCAGUGUUUAGAGGUUGAAGUUGAAAAGCGUUCAUCGGCUUCCGAACUAUUGAAGCAUCCGUUCCUCAAACUGGCGAGGCCUCUCGCCUCAUUAACACCACUAAUAAUGGCAGCUAAGGAGGCGGCAAAGGGACACUGAGUGCUGUGUACGAUAAGGAGAGAUAAAAGAACGUGCGAGUCAAAAAUCAUGCGAAAGAGAAGGGACUUGCUUGGCGGAAAACGAAAGAAAAAAACAAAUAUAUUAAAAAUCACCCUCCCAAAACGUUUUUCGAGAAACGUACACACGAAUGGGAAAACUCUCCGAUAAUCGUUCAACUCAGAAAAUAAGAAGGAAUUAAAUACUUGUAUUGCACUGGAACAAGCGAUAUAUAUAAAUAUUGUUUCAUAAAAAAAAAACGAGCAAACUGUAAACAUUGUAUUUGAAAUUUGACCAGUUUGAAAAUGAGUUACUUUAUUUCAAAUCGACAUCCACGAUUACUCAAUUCGUGUCUUCGAAAACGUCUCUUAUUAUUAUAAUAUACGAAACGAAGAUCUCUCGCUUUUGUUUAAAGAGUCGAAAGCGCUUCAUUGUCGAUAAGUAUCGAUUGCCAUUGAAAAGUGAGACUUGGACUUGACGAAGUAAAUUCAGUAUUUUGGAAAUGAGAGAGAGUAAGAGCAGAGGAACGAACAAAAACAAACUUUCAACGUUACUAUGUUUCACAGCAAUUGCUCCAAAUUUUUUAAUCCUAAAUUGUAAAGAGGUAUUUUAGAAAGAUAGCGAGAAUAUAAUUAUGCACGUUUAGUAUUAGUGAAGAAUAUUAUUAUGGCAAGGUUGAGAAUGGAAUUGAAGUUUGUGUCGUUGGAGCAAAGCGAAAUGUGCAUUUUUCAUUUUAUCUUCCAUCGAUAUUUUUUGCAUGCUUGAAAAUCUGUAAGAUUCGAAGAACUUACAAUCCUGGAUGUGAUUUUACGGAUACGAUGUUGAGGAAAAAAGAGGGGGUGCAACGACGCAAACUUCAAAAUUUUGGACAAGAGACGACCUCGAAGGGUUGAGAUACUGAAACAUAUUAUUAGGCAAAAGGCCGUAAGGGAGAUUCUGCAUUUUCACAAAUAUCUUCGAUGCUGAAGCAAAAAAGGGUGAAUGAGGAGAAAAAUAAUAGACGAAAUUAUUUGCGUCAUCGUAUUGUUAUCUUAGUUAUCGUAAAUACAUUUUCAGUUGGUAGCAGCUUUUAUCAUAAUAAGUCUACAAAUCUUGUCUAGAAAAAUCCCGAGGUUCGACGAGAUUGCAGAGAAAAAAACAUUCGCCAUAUCAUUCGUUACACCAGUGCUGACCCGCAAUCAUUUUUCAGCGUGUCAUUCAAAUUUCUUUUGAUUUUUUUUUUCGUUUUCGUUUUUUUUUUGCAUUCGAGGCCGACCUCGGGUUUAUCAUUCAAAGUGCAUUUAAGUAUCCGUGUAAGAAGCGUAUUAUUACCGUUUUAGAACAGUGAGGAUAGGUUCCUAUUAUGAAAUCAGGUUUAAGAGUCUAUAUUGCAUGUUUUUUCGUAGCUGCUUUUUAAAAAUGAUGUUUCUGAAAAUGCUUCGUGAUCUCGUGAACGUAAAAGUGCCAGGCCUAGCAAAGAAAAAGAAACAAAGAAAAACGAAGAAAACCACACACACAAACUAUUUUCUUGGAAGAUCUUUUAAGUCUUCGUGAAAGCAAUGAAAGUUAUUUUUAUGAUUUACACCGUAAAAUUUUUUACAUUGAAAAUUAUAAUAAUAAAGAAAAGAUUCACCCCGAAGGGAGAAAAUGUCGAACCUGAUUUUUCAGGGGUCAAGAAGGUAACGAUUUUUUAAGCGACAAUGAAUUUGAGAGUAUACUAUAGAGGCGUGGAUGGCAGCAACAAAUUAUAAUGAAUUAUUGUUAAGUCUACAGAUUAAUGCCCACAAGUUUCGGUGCAUAUUUAUCUACAUACGCUGGGACCCAGGUCAAACCGAGUUACAAGUUACAAUUCGAAAUAAAUGGGACGGAACAUGAGCCAGAAAUCUAAAGAUUCAACUCAAAAGUCCUUAAACGCUACUUGUUUAGUGCUCGUUCAACUGAGUUAUCUAGAAUUUUAUGUUACCGACUAAAUCUAGCUCAUAACGAGACCAGACAACGAUAAAUAUGACAUUCAGAGCUUGGCCAUAAUUUCCCUUCUUCGCAGUCUUCUUCGACAAGUCCCCAGUGAGCACAAUAGAAAAGUUUUUCUAAUUUACGAAAUGCAUCUUUAAAAAAUGACAAUUUCACUUAAUAUAAUAUUGCUUUUUUUAUAAAAGUGUUUGAAAUAAUUGUGAAAAGCGAUACCGCAAUGAGUAGUUUAAAGUGAUUGAGUCAUUUUGAAUCGAUGCACUUUUGCUUUAGACUUGAGAAGUUCAAUCUUGUAGUUAAGCUUCAUUUGUCAAAUUCCUUCGACUUCUUUUGUUCCAUUUAUUGGACUUUUAUGUUGCCAAAAUGCUGUGUAAGUUUAAGAAAAGUUGAAACUUUGUUUAUCUCGAAUAAGUGAACGAUUAAAACAUUUUUUCGAUGAAGAAACAUGCUCAGUUGGAAGAAUUGGAAUUAUUGUGGUCGACUCGAUUAGAAUCGUUCCUCGUAACCCGCUCGUUUGUUCUGGGCUGCGAAGCAAUAUGUACCUAUGACUGUAACUCUUAUCAAUUUAUUUUGUUCUUCUUUUUUGAAAGAUUACAAUAUAAGAAAAACAUUUUAUAACAAAAA